RNAcentral lists this ribosomal RNA (293 nucleotides) under uncultured bacterium. Its description in RNAcentral is "partial 16S ribosomal RNA". It matches the Rfam family "Archaeal small subunit ribosomal RNA", at positions 455 to 747 of the family's 1478-position model. The record is from RNAcentral.
GUGCCAGCAGCCGCGGUAAUACCGGCAGUUCGAGUGAUGGCCGAUCUUAUUGGGCCUAAAGCGUUCGUAGCUGGCCGGGCAAGUCCGUCGGGAAAUCUAUCCGCUCAACGGAUAGACGUCCGGCGGAAACUGCCCGGCUUGGGACCGGGAGACCCGAGAGGUACGUCCGGGGUAGGAGUGAAAUCCUGUAAUCCUGGACGGACCACCGAUGGCGAAAGCAUCUCGGGAGCACGGAUCCGACAGUGAGGAACGAAAGCUGGGGUCUCGAACCGGAUUAGAAACCCUGGUAGUCC